UCAUGGUUAAUAAGAACUGUGGGUGUAAUGAUAGAAGUGCAUAGGAAGAGAAUGGUUAUUGUGACAAGAAACCCAACAAUUCUUAUGCAAAGCUGAAUCAACUACUGGAUUCAAGUAUUAGAGUUGACGUUGUUGCAGCUGGUUGAUAAAGUAUUAUGGCUCUCAAAAGGGAUGGUUCAGCUAAAUUUUAGUAUAUCUAAAUCUAUCAAAACAAUCACUAAUUCAUUGUUUUUCAGUUACUUGCUUAGGAUAUAUAUGGAUG
RNAcentral lists this long non-coding RNA (262 nucleotides) under Lupinus angustifolius (narrow-leaved blue lupine). Its description in RNAcentral is "long non-coding RNA (LANG_LNC000003)". Lineage: Eukaryota; Viridiplantae; Streptophyta; Magnoliopsida; Fabales; Fabaceae. The record is from RNAcentral.